RNAcentral lists this ribosomal RNA (650 nucleotides) under uncultured bacterium. RNAcentral describes it as "bacterial SSU rRNA". It matches the Rfam family "Bacterial small subunit ribosomal RNA", at positions 56 to 751 of the family's 1533-position model. The record is from RNAcentral.
UGCAGUCGAGCGGGCGUAGCAGUACGUCAGCGGCAGACGGGUGAGUAACGCGUGGGAACGUACCUUUUGGUUCGGAACAACACAGGGAAACUUGUGCUAAUACCGGAUAAGCCCUUACGGGGAAAGAUUUAUCGCCGAAAGAUCGGCCCGCGUCUGAUUAGCUAGUUGGUGAGGUAACGGCUCACCAAGGCGACGAUCAGUAGCUGGUCUGAGAGGAUGAUCAGCCACAUUGGGACUGAGACACGGCCCAAACUCCUACGGGAGGCAGCAGUGGGGAAUAUUGGACAAUGGGCGCAAGCCUGAUCCAGCCAUGCCGCGUGAGUGAUGAAGGCCCUAGGGUUGUAAAGCUCUUUUGUGCGGGAAGAUAAUGACGGUACCGCAAGAAUAAGCCCCGGCUAACUUCGUGCCAGCAGCCGCGGUAAUACGAAGGGGGCUAGCGUUGCUCGGAAUCACUGGGCGUAAAGGGUGCGUAGGCGGGUCUUUAAGUCAGAGGUGAAAUCCUGGAGCUCAACUCCAGAACUGCCUUUGAUACUGAGGAUCUUGAGUUCGGGAGAGGUGAGUGGAACUGCGAGUGUAGAGGUGAAAUUCGUAGAUAUUCGCAAGAACACCAGUGGCGAAGGCGGCUCACUGGCCCGAUACUGACGCUGAGG